GGGGCCGUAGUUCAAUCGGUUAGAGCACCGCCCUGUCACGGCGGAAGUUGCGGGUUCGAGUCCCGUCGACCCCG
RNAcentral lists this transfer RNA (74 nucleotides) under Synura uvella. RNAcentral's name for it is "tRNA-Asp". It matches the Rfam family "tRNA". From Rfam's summary of the family: Transfer RNA (tRNA) molecules are approximately 80 nucleotides in length. The record is from RNAcentral. Lineage: Eukaryota; Synurophyceae; Synurales; Mallomonadaceae.